CUAUACAUGACUCUGUGCAUAUCAAUAAGCGGAGGAAAAGAAACUAACAAGGAUUCCCCUAGUAACGGCGAGUGAAGCGGGAAGAGCUCAAAUUUGAAAUCUUAAAGGGUUUCCCUUGAUGAAUUGUAGUUUAAAGAAGUGUUUUCUGUUAGAGAGGUUCGGUAAAAGUUCUUUGGAAUAGGACAUCAUAGAGGGUGAGAAUCCCGUAUUUGAUCACUUUACUUCCUAACUGUGUGAUACACUUUCAAAGAGUCGGAUUGUUUGGGAAUGCAGUCCAAAAUGGGUGGUAAAUUUCAUCUAAAGCUAAAUAUUGGCGAGAGACCGAUAGCGAACAAGUACCGUGAGGGAAAGAUGAAAAGAACUUUGAAAAGAGAGUUAAACAGUACGUGAAAUUGUCAAAAGGAAGCGUUUGACACCAGUGUUGUUUUUCCGAAAAUCAAUUACGAAUGUUUGUAUUUUGAGAAGUUAUGUACUUCAUCGGCUUGCUCUCUUCUUUACUGAAACUUUCUUAAUGCACUUUUCGGUUAACAAGUCAACAUCAAUUUCUUUUGUUGUAAAAGGGUAUGAGGAAGGUGGCUUUCUUUUCGGAGAAAGUUGUUUAUAGCCUUGUACCUCUGCAAUCGGAGAGAUUGAGGUCUGCAGCGUAGAUCCUUCGGGGUUAGAUACAUUUGUGCUAAGUUAUAGCUUUUCAUAGACAACUUGUUGACUAUGUUUAGUCUUGUAGCUUACUCGCUUACGCUAUUUUACCUACGCUUAGGAUGUUGAUAUGCAUGACUGAUAU
RNAcentral lists this ribosomal RNA (781 nucleotides) under uncultured Neocallimastigales. RNAcentral's name for it is "partial large subunit ribosomal RNA". It matches the Rfam family "Eukaryotic large subunit ribosomal RNA", at positions 22 to 640 of the family's 3401-position model. The record is from RNAcentral. Lineage: Eukaryota; Fungi; Neocallimastigomycota; Neocallimastigomycetes; Neocallimastigales.